Molecule: transfer RNA, 72 nt
Filed under: Marmota monax (woodchuck)
Lineage: Eukaryota; Metazoa; Chordata; Mammalia; Rodentia; Sciuridae
Description: tRNA.Asp
Source: RNAcentral
UUUGGGAUGUAUUUCAGUGGUAGAGUGUUUGCCUGUCAUGCAUGAGGUUCUAGGUUCAAUUUCCAGCAAAAA